Molecule: transfer RNA, 90 nt
Filed under: Chloroflexota bacterium
Lineage: Bacteria; Bacillati; Chloroflexota
Also listed under: 1 other name
Description: Chloroflexi bacterium tRNA-Ser
Rfam family: tRNA
About the family: Transfer RNA (tRNA) molecules are approximately 80 nucleotides in length. Their secondary structure includes four short double-helical elements and three loops (D, anti-codon, and T loops).
Source: RNAcentral
GGAGAGGUGCUGGAGUGGUCUAACAGGCACGCCUGGAGAGCGUGUGUGGCCGUAAGGUCACCGUGGGUUCGAAUCCCACCCUCUCCGCCA